UACGUAGGGGGCUAGCGUUGUCCGGAAUCAUUGGGCGUAAAGCGCGCGUAGGUGGCUUCGUAAGUCCGCUGUGAAAGUCAAAGGCUCAACCUUUGAAAGCCGGUGGAUACUGCGGAGCUAGAGUCCGGAAGAGGCGAGUGGAAUUCCUGGUGUAGCGGUGGAAUGCGCAGAUAUCAGGAGGAACACCAAUAGCGAAGGCAGCUCGCUGGGACGGUACUGACACUGAGGCGCGAAAGCGUGGGGAGCGAACAGG
Molecule: ribosomal RNA, 253 nt
Filed under: uncultured bacterium
Lineage: Bacteria
Description: partial 16S ribosomal RNA
Rfam family: Bacterial small subunit ribosomal RNA
Source: RNAcentral